CUUCCCAAACCCCACCCCAUGUAUCAGCGCCAUUAGCAUAUCAGAAUGGAGAAAUACAAUCAAGAGCUCGUCGACUUGAGAAAAGACUCACUUGGCCGCAUCGCGAAGAAAAAAAUGGCGUUAAAAGCCAUCCAGCGGGUGGAGGGAGGAUCCAGCUAAGCGGAAGAUAAACGCUUGUGUCCCACAGGAGCGAAAAGAGAUACGAGACGUUUGUUUCUCCAUCCAUAUAUUUCUAUAGAUAUGCGCUAUUAUCCGGAUUUGGAUAUAGAAUGCGCAGUGUACCAUCGUACAAAUCUGUCUAUUAAGAAGAAUAGGUGCCUGAUUGCAUCUAUUGUCCAAAUAAAAGACCCUAACAAGUUAGCAGUUGAUGUGUUUUCUCGUUAGAGAAUUCGAGCGAGUUGAACCCGAUGAAUACAAUAUGGAAGGAGAGAGAGCGCCGGCGUGGAAGAAAAAGGACUCGAAAAAAAAAAGAGGGUGG
Long non-coding RNA from Daphnia carinata, 478 nucleotides. RefSeq lists it as uncharacterized. Lineage: Eukaryota; Metazoa; Arthropoda; Branchiopoda; Diplostraca; Daphniidae. The transcript has 3 exons. The record is from RefSeq and is a predicted model, not a curated record.